CCAAUAGCGUAUAUUAAAGUUGUUGCAGUUAAAAAGCUCGUAGUUGAAUUUCGGGAUCAAGGAAUCGGUCAUGCCUUGGUAUGUACUGGUUUUAUUGGUUCUCACCUUCUAAAGAACCAUAAUGUCAUUCAUUUGAUGUUAUGGGGAAUUAGGACUGUUACCUUGAAAAAAUUAGAGUGUUUAAAGCAGGCUUACGCUUGAAUACAUUAGCAUGGAAUAAUGAAAUAGGACAUCAGAUUCUAUUUUGUUGGUUUCUAGGAUCGAUGUAAUGAUUAAUAGGGAUAGUUGGGGGCAUUAGUAUUCAAUUGUCAGAGGUGAAAUUCUUGGAUUUAUUGAAGACUAACUACUGAGAAAGCAUUUGCCAAGGAUGUUUUCAUUAAUCAAGAACGAAAGUUAGGGGAUCGAAGACGAUCAGAUACCGUCGUAGUCUUAACCAUAAACUAUGCCGACUAGGGAUCGGAUGAUGUUAAUUUUAUAAUGACUCAUUCGGCACCUUACG
RNAcentral lists this ribosomal RNA (499 nucleotides) under uncultured Glomeromycotina. RNAcentral describes it as "partial small subunit ribosomal RNA". It matches the Rfam family "Eukaryotic small subunit ribosomal RNA", at positions 591 to 1092 of the family's 1831-position model. The record is from RNAcentral. Lineage: Eukaryota; Fungi; Glomeromycota.